GUCCGUGUCAUCUUUGUGAUUUGCAGCUAGUAGUCUGGGUCCAGUUGCAUAGUCACAAAAAUGAUCAUGGAC
Molecule: non-coding RNA, 72 nt
Organism: Salmo salar (Atlantic salmon)
Lineage: Eukaryota; Metazoa; Chordata; Actinopteri; Salmoniformes; Salmonidae
Source: Rfam